Molecule: ribosomal RNA, 871 nt
Filed under: Bacillus altitudinis
Lineage: Bacteria; Bacillati; Bacillota; Bacilli; Caryophanales; Bacillaceae
Description: bacterial SSU rRNA
Rfam family: Bacterial small subunit ribosomal RNA
Source: RNAcentral
ACUCUGCUCAGGACGAACGCUGGCGGCGUGCCUAAUACAUGCAAGUCGAGCGGACAGAAGGGAGCUUGCUCCCGGAUGUUAGCGGCGGACGGGUGAGUAACACGUGGGUAACCUGCCUGUAAGACUGGGAUAACUCCGGGAAACCGGAGCUAAUACCGGAUAGUUCCUUGAACCGCAUGGUUCAAGGAUGAAAGACGGUUUCGGCUGUCACUUACAGAUGGACCCGCGGCGCAUUAGCUAGUUGGUGGGGUAAUGGCUCACCAAGGCGACGAUGCGUAGCCGACCUGAGAGGGUGAUCGGCCACACUGGGACUGAGACACGGCCCAGACUCCUACGGGAGGCAGCAGUAGGGAAUCUUCCGCAAUGGACGAAAGUCUGACGGAGCAACGCCGCGUGAGUGAUGAAGGUUUUCGGAUCGUAAAGCUCUGUUGUUAGGGAAGAACAAGUACGAGAGUAACUGCUCGUACCUUGACGGUACCUAACCAGAAAGCCACGGCUAACUACGUGCCAGCAGCCGCGGUAAUACGUAGGUGGCAAGCGUUGUCCGGAAUUAUUGGGCGUAAAGGGCUCGCAGGCGGUUUCUUAAGUCUGAUGUGAAAGCCCCCGGCUCAACCGGGGAGGGUCAUUGGAAACUGGGAAACUUGAGUGCAGAAGAGGAGAGUGGAAUUCCACGUGUAGCGGUGAAAUGCGUAGAGAUGUGGAGGAACACCAGUGGCGAAGGCGACUCUCUGGUCUGUAACUGACGCUGAGGAGCGAAAGCGUGGGGAGCGAACAGGAUUAGAUACCCUGGUAGUCCACGCCGUAAACGAUGAGUGCUAAGUGUUAGGGGGUUUCCGCCCCUUAGUGCUGCAGCUAACGGCAUUUAAAGGCC